Molecule: ribosomal RNA, 497 nt
Filed under: uncultured bacterium
Lineage: Bacteria
Description: partial 16S ribosomal RNA
Rfam family: Bacterial small subunit ribosomal RNA
Source: RNAcentral
GAUGAACGCUGGCGGCGUGCCUAAUACAUGCAAGUCGAGCGAACAGACGAGGAGCUUGCUCCUCUGACGUUAGCGGCGGACGGGUGAGUAACACGUGGAUAACCUACCUAUAAGACUGGGAUAACUUCGGGAAACCGGAGCUAAUACCGGAUAAUAUAUUGAACCGCAUGGUUCAAUAGUGAAAGACGGUUUUGCUGUCACUUAUAGAUGGAUCCGCGCCGCAUUAGCUAGUUGGUAAGGUAACGGCUUACCAAGGCAACGAUGCUUAGCCGACCUGAGAGAGUGAUCAUCCACACGGUAACUGUGACACGGUCCAGACGCCUACGGUAGGCAGCAGUAGGAAAUCUUCCGCAAUGGGCGAAAACCUGACGAAGCAACGCCGCGUAAGUGAUAAAGGUCUUCGAAUCGUAAAACUCUGUUAUUAGAGAAGAGCAAAUGUGUAAGUAGCUAUGCACGUCUUGACGGUACCUAAUCAGAAAGCCACGGCUAACUACGUG